GUAGGUGGCAAGCGUUGUCCGGAAUUAUUGGGCGUAAAGCGCGCGCAGGCGGUUCUUUAAGUCUGAUGUGAAAGCCCACGGCUCAACCGUGGAGGGUCAUUGGAAACUGGAGAACUUGAGUACAGAAGAGGAAAGCGGAAUUCCACGUGUAGCGGUGAAAUGCGUAGAGAUGUGGAGGAACACCAGUGGCGAAGGCGGCUUUCUGGUCUGUAACUGACGCUGAGGCGCGAAAGCGUGGGGAGCAAACAGGGAUUAGAUACCCUGGUAGUCCACGCCGUAAACGAUGAGUGCUAAGUGUUAGGGGGGUUUCCGCCCCCUUAGUGCUGCAGCUAACGCAUUAAGCACUCCGCCUGGGGAGUACGGCCACAAGGCUG
This 374-nucleotide ribosomal RNA is filed under the name uncultured organism. RNAcentral's name for it is "partial 16S ribosomal RNA". It matches the Rfam family "Bacterial small subunit ribosomal RNA", at positions 527 to 896 of the family's 1533-position model. The record is from RNAcentral.